GGCCUGGUGGUCUAGUAGUAUGAUUCCUUGUUAGGGCAACCUGAAUCGAGGAGGUCCCGGGUUCAAUUCCCGGCCAGGCCC
RNAcentral lists this transfer RNA (81 nucleotides) under Boletus edulis. RNAcentral describes it as "tRNA-Pro". It matches the Rfam family "tRNA". From Rfam's summary of the family: Transfer RNA (tRNA) molecules are approximately 80 nucleotides in length. Their secondary structure includes four short double-helical elements and three loops (D, anti-codon, and T loops). Further hydrogen bonds mediate the characteristic L-shaped molecular structure. tRNAs have two regions of fundamental functional importance: the anti-codon, which is responsible for specific mRNA codon recognition, and the 3' end, to which the tRNAs corresponding amino acid is attached (by aminoacyl-tRNA synthetases). tRNAs cope with the degeneracy of the genetic code in two manners: having more than one tRNA (with a specific anti-codon) for a particular amino acid; and 'wobble' base-pairing, i.e. permitting non-standard base-pairing at the 3rd anti-codon position. Lineage: Eukaryota; Fungi; Basidiomycota; Agaricomycetes; Boletales; Boletaceae. RNAcentral also lists the same sequence under 2 other names. The record is from RNAcentral.